This 28-nucleotide non-coding RNA is filed under the name Mus musculus (house mouse). The record is from RNAcentral. Lineage: Eukaryota; Metazoa; Chordata; Mammalia; Rodentia; Muridae.
UAUAGGGUGCUCUGAGGGUCUUCUCUGU